The submitters of this non-coding RNA (97 nucleotides) gave its source as unclassified sequences. The record is from Rfam.
UCACAAUACCUACUCCCCUUAAACCAAGACCUAUAGGGAGGAUAAAUUACGUCUUUCAUAUCCGAAAGUGAGGGAUUUUCGGAAAUAAGUUUCGCUC